UUUCUGGUAGCUUCGGGUCGCCUAGCGGCUCCGGAGGUGCCAGCACUUUUCUCCACGGGACUCACAGGCAGAAUCCAUUGCUGAAGACACCACAGCAGCCUCUGGCUACCAGUGGAUCACAGUAGCAGCCCAUCAAAGCGGAAUCUGAACUUGAAUUCGGUGCAGCUGGUUGUAGAGCUGGUCUUGAGCAUCAGGAUCUGAGACCCCCAGUCGAUCGAGGUCCAUCAACUGGACCCUGGAGGCCGGUUUUCUCACGGGAGGGAGGACAGAGGUUGCAGAAGCUGGAAAUACUCCAGUUUCCCAGCUGAUGUAAGAAUCUGAUAAAUCACGGA
Molecule: long non-coding RNA, 332 nt
Filed under: Mus spicilegus (steppe mouse)
Lineage: Eukaryota; Metazoa; Chordata; Mammalia; Rodentia; Muridae
Description: lncRNA (ENSMSIG00000029921.1)
Source: RNAcentral